CCUACGGGAGGCUGCAGUGGGGAAUAUUGCGCAAUGGGCGAAAGCCUGACGCAGCGACGCCGCGUGAGGGAUGAAGGUCUUCGGAUCGUAAACCUCUGUCAGCAGGGAAGAACGGUCACUGUCCUAAUCAGCAGUGCAUUGACGGUACCUGUAAAGGAAGCACCGGCUAACUCCGUGCCAGCAGCCGCGGUAAUACGGAGGGUGCGAGCGUUAAUCGGAUUUACUGGGCGUAAAGCGCUCGUAGACGGUCUGUCAAGUCAAGGGUGAAAUCUCCGCGCUUAACGUGGGAACUGCCUUUGAAACUGGCAGGCUGGAGUGUGUGAGAGGAAAGUGGAAUUCCUGGUGUAGGAGUGAAAUCCGUAGAUAUCUGGAGGAACAUCAGUGGCGAAGGCGACUAUCUGGAACGUAACUGACGCUGAGGAGCGAAAGCGUGGGUAGCAAACAGGAUUAGAUACCCCAGUAGUC
This 465-nucleotide ribosomal RNA is filed under the name uncultured bacterium. RNAcentral's name for it is "partial 16S ribosomal RNA". It matches the Rfam family "Bacterial small subunit ribosomal RNA", at positions 338 to 795 of the family's 1533-position model. The record is from RNAcentral.